AUCCAGAUGACGAGUCACAAAUAGGACGAAAUGUGCGUCAAACUGGAU
Molecule: non-coding RNA, 48 nt
Filed under: Schistosoma curassoni
Lineage: Eukaryota; Metazoa; Platyhelminthes; Trematoda; Strigeidida; Schistosomatidae
Source: RNAcentral